Molecule: long non-coding RNA, 2031 nt
Filed under: Marmota monax (woodchuck)
Lineage: Eukaryota; Metazoa; Chordata; Mammalia; Rodentia; Sciuridae
Source: RNAcentral
CCUCCCCCCACCCCCAGCACUUAAGUGAAUAAUCUUCUCUUUUCCUGGACUGCUCACCUCCAAAGGGGACGCUUGUUUUCUUUUUAUAGGAGGAACAUCUUUCUGUGAUUAACACAACACCUGGGUGUUUCAUUUCUGCAAUUCCACAUUUAUGAGGCAAAUUGGCCUCUGUGUUAUGAACAUCUGAAUAAUGUCCAGUCUCUCUAUUAUGAGCAGAAAAUGUUUCCCAUGUCAAGGUCACAACCUCUUCUAAUUUUCAAAGUGAACAUUGUGUUGUAUUAUAGAUGCGUGUUAUAUCAUAUAGGAAUUGAUGAAAACUAGAGUGAAAUUCCCUCGAGAUUUCAUAGACUGUCAUUUUAACCUAUUAAGCUGUAAUUAUAAAUGGUAGGGGUAUUGUUUCCCUCUUAUUAGACAACAAGUGACCUCUUAAAAAGCAAUCUUUACCUUCCUGAUUAGUUAUGGUUCAUGUUCCAGGUGAUUCUACCAUUCAGUGCACCAUUGGGGUCAGUUAAUAGGUGUUUCAAAGCUCUGAAGUUGAAAAGAUUGCAGGGUAGAGUUUUUAUGUCUGUAGAAUCAGCAUAUAUGUUUACAGGAGGAAAUUGUAUAAUUAUUUAUAUCAUCAGGUUGGACUAAUUAAGGAGUCAUAGUAGAAGAUUCUUAUGAUUCAGCCCACAGAAUUGGGAGCCUUCCCAUUGAAACUUUAUUGACAUGAGUACUCAGGUCAUUGUUCUCUCUACUGGAGUCUCUUAGCUCAAAGGCUAGAUUAAAAAAUUCCUAAAUCUCUAGGCUUAGGAAAUGGUUUGGAUCAUUUGCAAAUAAUGUUCAGGAAAUUAUCUUGUUAAGUUUGGAUGCAUUUUUAUUUUUAAACUUUAAAAAAGUAUACACUUAGUAUAUUUUUGUUCACAAUGCAGAAAAGAAAAAGAAAGGAAGAAGUGUGUGUGUGUGUGUGUGUGUGUGUGAGAGAGAGAGAGAGAGAGAGAGAGAGAGAGAGAGAUUAUCCUGUGAUUUCAUCUUCCAGAGAUAAUCACUAUUAACAUCAUUUCUAGGCUUUUCUUCUAAUAUGUAAUGUAUAUGCAUUUUCCUGCUUUACAGAAAUGGAAUUCUAUACAUAUUGAGUCAACUGCCUAUUCAGCUGUAUAUUGUGAACAUUUUCAUUGUUAAUACUCUUUUGUAACAUCUCAUACUAUUAUAUUGUGUAGCUAUCACAUAAUUCCACUUCAUCAAUCCUUUAGUUUAUUUCUGAUUUUUUUUUUUUGCUAAACAACACUUUAGUGCACACCCCAUUGGACCAUUGGAUAAAUAUUUGCACACAUCUUUCAUACUUCAGGUAAAUUCCUAGAAGGGGAAUACCAGAUCACAGGGAUUGCACAUUUUAUUUAUUUAUUUAUUUUAAUAUUUAUUUUUUAGUUGUAGUUGGACACAAUACCUUUAUUUCACUUAUUUAUUUUUUAUGUGGUGCUGAGGAUCGAACCCAGGGUCCCGAAUGUGCAAGGAGAGCGCCCUACCAAUGAGCCACGACCCCAGCCCAGGGAUUGCACAUUUUAAAGUUUUUGAUACACAUUGUGUUAGUCAGUUUUCUGUUACUGUAACCAUACCUGAGAAAUCAACUUAUAAAGAGAAAAGAUUUAUUUUGGCUCAUAAUUUUGGAGGUGUCAGUCCAUGGUAGAGUAGACCUAUUGAUGUUAGGUCUCUGCUUGUAGAAGGUUGGGCAUCACAUCAUGGGCAGGCAGGAGCAUGUCGUAUGCAAACUGUUCACUUCAUGACUGAGGGAAAAGAUGAAGAGGGAGGGGGAGGAGGAGGGAGAGAGAGAGAGAAAACCAGGAUCCCAUAAUCCCCUUUGAGGGGAUCCCCACAAUGAUCUAAGACCUCCUACUAGGGUCCAUCUCUUAAAGAUUCUAUGCUUUCCAAUAGCCUCACAGGCUGGGGACCAAGCCUUUCAUAAGUGAUCCUUUGGGAGACAUUCUACAUCCAAACUAUAGCAUGCUGCUGAACUGAUUGCCAAGAAAACUCACUGCAAGUGACAUACCUCCU